CAAUACUCCGCCGGCGACCGGCGCACGGGUGCGUAACGCGUAUGCAACCUACCUUUAACAGGGGCAUAACACUGAGAAAUUGGUACUAAUUCCCCAUAACAUUCGAGAAGGCAUCUUCUUGGGUUAAAAACUCCGGUGGUUAAAGAUGGGCAUGCGUUGUAUUAGCUAGUUGGUGGGGUAACGGCCCACCAAACCUUCGAUGGAUAGGGGUUCUGAGAGGAAGGUCCCCCACAUUGGAACUGAGACACGGUCCAA
This 255-nucleotide ribosomal RNA is filed under the name uncultured bacterium. RNAcentral's name for it is "partial 16S ribosomal RNA". It matches the Rfam family "Bacterial small subunit ribosomal RNA", at positions 78 to 334 of the family's 1533-position model. The record is from RNAcentral.